UGCUCAGGCGCCGGGGAAGGGGGACUCCGCGACCCCCGCCGCCGCUAGGUCCGGAGUGCGUGCCGGUGCCGGGGCUGUCCCGCCACCCGCCGCUGCGACUCGGUUGUGGGGGUCCGGCCAUCAUUCGGAGAAACCGGCUUAGCCUGCCCUCUGCACCUGUCUCGGGCCCCUCCCUUCUUUGCAGGCGUGCCCUGUUCUGUUCCCCUCUCUCCACUGUGCCUUGGCACUAAGGGCUUGGGCGCUGAAGUGCUGCCCCUCUCUGUUCGACACUGCCCGGGCCUGUGUCUUGGAAUGGUCGGCAACCCUUCACCCCCCCCCCUCCAUUCACGCGCUCCCCGCGUUGCCGCUUCACUGAACUCUGACGGCUUGAGUUAUUGAUUAACCUGGAUUGAGAACUCAAGCCCUUCUGUGUGUUGAGCGGAGGAGAAUGCAGUCUGUUGGGGUGCAGCCGGGCAUUUGGAAACUUGCAGGGGUAAAUCCUUACCGUGAAAGAAGAGACAGGGGAACCAGGGGGAAAGAGCCGUGGGCAGUCUAGAUUUCUGGGGUCAGUGACCGGCCAGAGGCCCACACCGCGUGGGGGUGGGGCAGAGGCCGGUGUGGACCAGUCACUCCCCUGAGCGUGGGGCCUCCUGGAGUGGCAGGUUAGAAUGUUCCCAUGGUGUGUGCAGUGGCCCUUAGGUGGGAUUUUCCACCCUGCCCAGGCAUGUGCCCUGGGCUUGGGUUUCCAUGGUCUGGGUAGCCUGCACCUGCUGUCCCUCCUUGGUUCAAUCCAUCACACACGCAGAGUCCUUGUGUAGGCUGGGCUGCACCUCAAGGGACCAGGAGGAGGGGGAUCAGAUUAGCCCUUGCCCCUGGAUGUCCCAGCCUGGGUGGGAGAUGGCCCAGACCAAGCCGUAGCAGCAGUGCAGGCAGCCGGACAGCAGUCCCGUCCUAGUGGGCGUCUCAGGCCGGCUUUGUGCUGGAGGUUUAGGGUCUGCUGCUGCUAGUGCAGGGGCGGGUGUAGGGGGCUGUGCCUAGAGCCUCUAAGGGCCUGAAAGGACUCAUUGACCAGAGGGACCCUGGUGGGUAUGAGAGUGGAAGAGCGAGUUGUAAAGGCCCCCGGAUGCUGGGCCAGGGAGUUGGGCUUUGCUUUGGGGUGGAGGUCUCAUCUGCAUGUGGAGGCAGCUGUCCAAGUUUUAGAAAACUACUCUUGGAGUCACACAUGAAUACGUAUACGUACACGAAUCCACGCGUUCAUGUGAGAGAUGUGUCUUCAGUCGUCUAACAGUUUUUCAGUGGGAAUUGGCCAAUGUGGGGUAAGCUAGUUCUCUGGGUUAUGGGGAUAGUGGGGCACUGGGCAGGGGACAGACAGGGUCCUCCUUGUAUCUGACAAGCGCCCUCAAGAAUGGAUGGCAGGUUGGAGGGUGGCUGGAGAUAGGGGGACUUAGUUGUGAUGGUCCAAGAAGAGACGACGGCCAUAGCAGGAGCAGCGCUGGGGAGCGGGAGAGCUGGGGUGCCUUGGACGGAGAUCUCCAAGGGGGAAUCAUCAGGGUGAGAUGGUCUUUGGAUAUGAGCAGGGGGGCAGAGAGCGAAGCCCUGCCGGGGGACUACUGGGGCACAGAUGUGGUGGAGAUGCCAGUUUCCGUCUGGGUUGUGCUGAGGGUGUGGGGCUGUGGGACAUCCAGGUGAAGCUGUCCUGGAGCAGAUGGAGUCACAGAUCUGGUGGGCUGAGAGUAGCCAAGGCCAGAGGUUAGGGAGAUAUCAGGCCAGAGCUGGUGGUUGAAGCAAGAUCAGGUGAGGCCUUCCAGGCAGCUGUGCAGGAGACGGUGAGUCAGGAGCCCUGGGCAGAGGCUGAGGAGCUGCCAGGGAGCUCAGAGGCUCUGGAAAGCCCACUCUUAGACAUCGAGAGAGGGGACCCCUUCAGGAAGAAGAGAUUGGGGGUCAGCGGGAAUGCUGCAGCCCGCUGGAGGUUGAGGAGGGAGACACGGCUGGGGAGUAGGUUCUGGAUUUCAGAAGGCCUGGGAGGAGGAGGGACAGCAGGCGUAGUUGAGCACUGCGGGUGGAGGACGCUCAAGGUGUCCAGUGGGGUCGGACGGACACUCUGCAGCCCCUGAGCACCAGCUCCCUGGGCCUGAGGCCGCUUCCCCCGCCCGACCAGAGGCACUGCUCCCCACUUCUCUUGCAGCCCACCUCUCAGGGGUGCGGGCACGGGCUCGCAGCCAGUUUCUGGCAGUGAGGGGUGCUGCACAGAGUUAUCCACAUGUUCUUGCUCGUGGGCUGUGCCUGGCAGCUUGUGAUCGGACACUGGAUUGUGAACAAGGAAUCGGGGCUCCGGGGCAAGACUGGACAGUCACAGCUGGGUGCCGGGGCUGUCUGACCUCUCAUACGCCUGUGUCUGUGCCCCCAGGGGGUCUGGGUGUGAGGGUCUCAUCCACACACGAGAGCCAGUGCUGGCGAUGGUCAGGCAUUGCGGGGGCUGGUGUUACACUGCCCCUCUGUAACCAGCAAUGAGACUUAGAGACCCUUUGCUGAGACCCAUUUGUUUCCUUCUGAUUCAGUCGGGACUGCGGGGCUUGGAGGUGGGGCAUAGUCAACCUAUGUAUAUGCCUUGGGGUCAAUGCAGAAUGAGUUGAUCUAGUAAUCUGCUUCUGUGUGGGCAGACCUUGAGCUUGCUAGGCAGUGAGUAGUAAGGGAGGCUCCUGGAGGAGCGAGAGGGCAAGGCAGUAGGGUGGGAGAAAUCAGGGAGGACUCCCUGUAGGAGGCCUGAGACCCUGGAGCAAACAAGAACUGCUUUUGUUGCAUUUUCUCUGAGGCCUUGGGGACAUCUCUCAGUUGGACCUCAGUUUCCUCGUCUCUAAGGGGGAUUGGCCCUGCCCUGCUUUGCCCCUUGUGCUGCGUGGGCUGGGUGGCUAUAACGGUGACAUCAGCCAAGUUGGCUUGUAAGCAUGUCCACAGAGCCACAGCGGUGGUCUGACUAGUGGAGGGAGCUGGCUGGGGACCUUCAGUGGAUGGUAGCAGCCUGAGGCCAGGCCUGGAAAUGUCCCUCGGCUGAGCAGGAGCCACCAGGUCCCCAUGUCAGAGGCAGUGGAGCCUCUCAGGAGUGACUGGCAGAAGCAGCGUCGAGGUCUGACCGUGAAAGAAACCAGACUUGCCUUAUCUGCCUUCCUUUCCCAGACACACUGUGUGAUAAGAGUGCUAAAUGCUUUGGGGAGAAGUUUGAAAUGAGUCCUUAAAACCAUGGUGUGAGCUGGGAGGAGGCAGAGGGUGGAGGAGGCAGAGGGUGGGGCAGCCGAGGUUGGGGCUCAGGCUGGGGCUCAGGCUGGGGACUCUGGCCGCACACACAUCGGGGGCUGUGCUGGGCACACAGACGCUCCCCUGUCCAUGCACGAGCCCGUGUGGGGUCUGGCAGCACCAGGGAUGCCCAAACUAAGAUUCCUGCCCUCACAGCAGUGUAUGCAAACUUCCCCAGGGAGAGGGUCGCCGAACUCGGACUUACCCAUCCCCAGUCUCUCUUCCUGACAUUCCCAGGCCUGGGCUCCCUCCUGGAAGCCUCCCCCUUCUUAAAACAAAGCCCAGAGCUUGAAGGUGCUCAAGCCAGCUUCCCAGGACCCAUCCCGUCCUCUGGGCUCUCCAGUGAUUUUAUCUUGGCCCCAGCACACAGAGGUCCCCUCCCCUGGUUUCCUUUCCUGUGGCUGAAGGGAAGGAAGGAGCUGGGGGCCCUGUGGGUGGGCUUGGGGACCACGGCCCAGCCCAGCUCUGUGGCUUGAGGCUCAGGUCGCGCUGGGGUGGAUACCCCACUCUCCCCACCCCACUCCCUGGGCCUCACAAGUUUGUCUUGAGUUGUCCUUCCUGCUCUUGGAAGGCAUGAGUGCUUUGUGAACAGAGAAACCCCAGCCUGACUCUGCUUCUGCCUCUAGUCAUGGCGUAAGGUUAGGGGUGACCCCCAAGCUUGUGUGGUGGGAUGGAGGGUGGUCUCUGAAUAGCCCUUUGGUCUGAGGCGUGGUUGGAGCCCGUUCCUUAGGUGAGCAGUUGUUCCAGUCCUGGAGUGGGGGAUGUGGGAGGAGGGGCAGGGGGAACCUGGGACUCCAGCCUCCCAGCAUGACUCAGCCCCCAUCCCCUUUCCCUCCUGCUUUGCUGGAGACCCCUUGGCAGGAAUCCACCUGGUCCAGAACCUACUUCCUGUCUGAUUGUGGCUUCUGGUCCCCUGGGGCAUCCUGGGAGGUGAGGGGCCUGCAACGUGCAUGGGCAGGCGUCCCCCAGAGAGACCCACAUUCCUGGGAAAAUGGUUUCACCAUCAGCCCAUCUCUCCAGGCCCCUGUGUAGACCUGUGGAACCUGUCGGACCAGAGUAUGGGGGGGUGGAGGGGGACACGGCCCCCAGAGCUGAGAGCCUGGUGACAGGUGGGGUCCGGGAUUCAGGAUAGGCUGGCUGUUUCUCCUCCUUCUGCUGAGCUGGCUUCAGGUUAGGCUCGUUGUGGCUCUAGGGGUGCCCUCCACACUCUGAGGCACAAGGAGAUGGCCGCCCUCAACUUCUCCACUGUUCCUGCCAGUGAGCCUAGCCCUUCCUGCUCCGUCCUUCUGAAUUGGAAGUUGAAUGGUCACCUCCUCUCCAAGCCCAGUCUCUCCCCGGGCUCAAGUCCCGUCCUCUCCUUUCUCCCCAGGGUCCCAACCUCUCCGAGUGUCCCUCCCCCUGCUGGAGCCUUUCUCUCAGCCUGUAAACGUUGUCCUACCUCUUCCAUCAGGGAGAGUCCCUCAGACCUCUUCCCCGCGCCUCAUGGCUGCAGUUCCCACCAACCCCACCCCCCCAGGUCACGUCAGCCAGGCCCAAAGCCCCUGCCUAGAAGAGGUGUGAUGUCUCCCCCUCCUCCACAUUCACUUACUCCCUGCAAACCUUGGAAUCCCUUUUGCCCUCCACUCCUUCACUGCCCCAUCUCUCCUCCCUGGGUCCCUACCCAGGAGUAGGGAGGUACCUGGCCAUCUGGUCACCCCCUUCCAUGCCACUGUCUCACUGGCUUCUGAAGGAUGUUCCUAAAACCCAGAACUGAUGACCUUCAGUUCCUUCUUGUCCAAGGAGUCAUGUCCGAGUUCUCCCGGCUGGCACCUUGGACUGUGUACUGCUUCUCUAGCCACUGGAUCUGAAUGCUUUGUGCCUUGAUGUCUCUGGCAGACACUAGUCUCUCUGCGGGGCAUGGCUUCCACUCCUGGUCUGCCUGGCUCACUCCAGGCUGGCUCAGCCCCGCUGCUUCUGGGAGGCUCUCUCUGACCCCCUGGGCUGGGUGAAGUCUGUCUCAGGCGUGCGCCCUCAUGCUAGCCUUUCGCCGCCUGCUCAAGGUGCUGGCUCCCCCGCCAGACUGAUUCCCCCAUGGAUGGGUAGGGUGGCAUGGAUGAGCCGUCGGGGGCCAGGGAUGGGCUUUUGUCAUUUGGGAACCUAGCAGACAAGGGGACCCAUCUGGAGAUGUGCGGCCAUCUAAGGAGAGGUAUGGCCAACCUCUCAAGCCACCCGUUGUGGGCUCUUGGUAGAGCCCCUUAUAGGCGCCUGCCCGUGUACCCCUCUUGCCAGGCCGACCCACCAGCCUCACAGAUGCUCUGAGCCCUCCACCCUCCUUCACUGUGAGAAAGGCAGGGCCAAGGUUGAGGAUAAUGUCCCUCCUGGCCUCAUCUCAGCUGCUGCUCACUGUGUAACCUUGGACAGCACACAUCCCCUUUCUGAGCCCUCGGGUCCCAUCUGUAAAAUGGGUGUGGUAGCACCUACCUGGGAGGACAGAGCAUGUUGGUUUAAGUGGCAUGGCCAGAAAAGGGGUUGAAGUGGUAGAUGCUUUUUUAGCCUACUCCCUUAUCUCAAACAGGGAAACUGAGACCCAGGAGGGGCCGGCAGCACAGCCUGGAUGGCGGGUUCCCCUGCUGGCCCUUGGUCUGGGCUCUCUCUCUGCAUGACACUCCCCACCGCUGCAGCCCAGAGGGGAUGGAGGGGCCUCAAGGAGCCAGUCAGGCCCCAGUACUCUGGACAUCCAGGCAAAUCUUGUGACCCUGCAUCCAAUGAGUGUGGAUCACCAUGACGAAGCCAGCGAGGCGGAGAUGAGGAGAACCUCAAACUCGUACAUCGUGGAGAACGGGCACCAGCCUGGGGCAGGUGGGGGCUGAUGGCCCAGGAGGGCUGGCUGGAGGAAUACCCGCAGGGACUGGGGAAUUGUCCAAGCACUGAGCAGGGUAGAGAGUGGACUGACAGGCAACUAUUUCUUGAACUCUCUAUUAGGGAAUGUUGGAGCAGGCAUCACCUCUGGUUGGAGCAGUGAGACUUCCCCAGUAGGGGGAGAUCAGGGAGGCAGGAGUGAUCAGGGAGGCCUUCCUGGAGGAGGUCCGGGUGAUGGGCCCCCCGAAGCCGCCCAAACCAUCCCAACACCAGAGCCCCUCAAGCCUCGACCUGUGAGCCUCUCUUUGCGGCAGCCUCACCAGCCAGUCACGGCCAUCACACGAGUCUCCGAGAAGUUCUCUGGGGAGACCUCAGCCACAACUCUCUCGCCCACGUCUGCUGCCAUCCUGGGGGGCCUCAGCUCAAGCCUCAGCGAGGCCAGCACAUCCUGGACUCCCAGUCCCAGUGGUAGGAGCAGGAGACCAUGACCUCAAAAUGGGAGGGAGGUCAGGGGCUGGGGGUGGUUUGCAGGAGACUCAGAAAUCCUGGGGCCGGGCCCUACCCACUGUGCUUGUCACUGCCACCCCCGUCCCCAGCUCGCCUGCUCCAUCAGAUGGGGCCCAUCUUUCCCGGCUCGUCUCCCAGAGCUGCUGUGAAGUAGCCUCAUCCUGCGGGGUACGACCAUGGCUUUUACUGCAGAUCAAGGCUGUGGUUAGAAGGUGGCCGCCUGCCCUGCACACUUUGUGUGUAACAAACCUGGCAUGGUCCCCCUGGGGCUGUCUUGGACCUGUGAUCAGGCCCCAGGGUGUGUCCUGGGGUCGGGCUUUGUGGAUUUCCAGAAUGAGGGCUUGGUAACAUGGUAUCUACUGGAUAUGCAGCACAGGAGGUCCUGGGCUCUGUGCUCUCAAAUGCAGUGAGGAGUACUGUAAAGGACCUCUUUUAUGUCAUUGCUCUAUGUUCCAGCAUCCUUUCUCCUCAACUGUUGGCCCAGGCAGGGUCAGCUUAGCCCAGAGGUCCUGCCAGUGCCCAGAGUGAUGCUGGGUGACUAGCUCAGGGUGGGGUCAAAGGAUGGGAGGCAGGCAGUGGUGGCCCUCCCCAAGGCCAGGGUUUGUUAUUUCUCUCCCUCCCUUUGUCCCGCAGAGAAGAACUCUUCCCUCCCACGGUCUUUGUCCAGCUCUGGCUAUGGGGGGGUGACGGCCAGCAGGAACGAUAACAGGCGAGUCAGGGCCCCUGUUCCCGGUGGCAGGGUCGUCACUCCCCAGGAAGUGUCUGGCCUUGGCCUUGGACCCAGGCUACCCAGGCCCCUGCACGGAGCUCCCAGUGCCAACCCCAGGAGGAGGCACCUUCCUUGGCUUGGUGCCUCUGGAGAACUAAGGCAGCAGUGUCGCUGAGUGGGGUUUGAGAGGAGAAAUGAGGCAGCGAAGCUUGGUAGAGAGUUUUGUUUGGAGCAAUACGGCGGAGGGCUGGUUUCUUUAAGGAUCCUUCAAAGCAAGUCUGUCCAAAGAUUGGAGAGAGUUUCUCAGUCCCCACAGGAUGGAUCUUCAGCCAUCCUGGCUAGGCUCCCUCUGAGCUGGGGGCUUCCUGCUUGUGGACUGAGGAGUUACCUGGAGAGGCCCUUACCCUGGGGGAGGUCUGUGGGGGCUUCCCUGUGUUACAGGCUGCCUCCUGGCCUCCGGUUGUCCCCAUGCGCUGCCCCCAGGCCCUCUGGACUGUGAUCGGAGCUGGGUGUUGGGUGGGGGCUGGCUUGGCUUUUUUCUCCCCCUCUUAAUAAUAAAAGGAGAAUUGUGACUUUCUGACAAACUGUUUUAGGGGGGAAACAGAGGGGAUCUUAUUUAGUGGUGGCGAGGAGGGGGCCUGAUCCUGGUGGGGCUGGUUCUGGGUGCUUGUCCUGCCAGGAGGACGCCCCCGCCCACCCCAGGCAUUGACACCUGCCGAGGGGCGAUUAUGUGCAGAGAGGGGGCCCACUGCUGGCUAGGCC
Molecule: RNA transcript, 8086 nt
Organism: Camelus dromedarius (Arabian camel)
Lineage: Eukaryota; Metazoa; Chordata; Mammalia; Artiodactyla; Camelidae
Gene name: smoothelin-like protein 2
Exons: 3
Source: RefSeq, a predicted model, not a curated record